RNAcentral lists this ribosomal RNA (380 nucleotides) under uncultured bacterium. RNAcentral's name for it is "bacterial SSU rRNA". It matches the Rfam family "Bacterial small subunit ribosomal RNA", at positions 30 to 416 of the family's 1533-position model. The record is from RNAcentral.
AUUGAACGCUGGCGGAAUGCUUUACACAUGCAAGUCGAACGGUAGAGGGGGCAACCCCUUGAGAGUGGCGAACGGGUGAGUAAUAUAUCGGAACGUGCCCAGUCGUGGGGAUAACGUAGCGAAAGCUACGCUAAUACCGCAUACGAUCUAUGGAUGAAAGCGGGGGAUCGCAAGACCUCGCGCGAUUGGAGCGGCCGAUAUCAGAUUAGGUAGUUGGUGAGGUAAAGGCUCACCAAGCCGACGAUCUGUAGCUGGUCUGAGAGGACGACCAGCCACACUGGGACUGAGACACGGCCCAGACUCCUACGGGAGGCAGCAGUGGGGAAUUUGGACAAUGGGCGCAAGCCUGAUCCAGCAAUGCCGCGUGCAGGAUGAAGGCC